GGGGUCGACCGGAAUCGACAGGAAGUGUAAAUGAUGUACUUGCAUGUCAGGUGGAAAGUGUACACCUGUGAUCAAUUCACUUAAACUAUAAUUGGCGAAUCUAAUUACGCCAUGGCAGCCUAAUUACGACUUAGAUGUUGUAAUUAAUUAGGGUUGAGGCCAAAGCCUCCCCCUGCCACAUCCCUCCAGGAUUCUGUCCUGUAAUCAGGAUCAAGGGGUGUCGACCUUCAGGACUAGUGCAGACGAUGCUAUUAAGACUGUGCGAAACUCAAAUAGCUGGCAGGCCGAGUAGGGUGUUGUUCUCCGGCUCACCUGCGAGAUAAAAUGAGCAACUAAGCAUGUAGAAGGUCCAUGAUUUCCUUUGCUGGACGAGGGUUCGAAUCCCUCCGACUCCACCU
Molecule: transfer-messenger RNA, 398 nt
Filed under: Cyclobacteriaceae
Lineage: Bacteria; Pseudomonadati; Bacteroidota; Cytophagia; Cytophagales
Also listed under: 2 other names
Description: Marinoscillum sp002729235 Standard tmRNA
Rfam family: transfer-messenger RNA
About the family: Bacterial tmRNA, also known as 10Sa RNA or SsrA, is named for its dual tRNA and mRNA-like properties. Its role is to liberate the mRNA from a stalled ribosome. To accomplish this part of the tmRNA is used as a reading frame that ends in a translation stop signal.
Source: RNAcentral